Molecule: unclassified non-coding RNA, 135 nt
Organism: Bison bison bison
Lineage: Eukaryota; Metazoa; Chordata; Mammalia; Artiodactyla; Bovidae
Source: Ensembl
AAAAUGGCAGAAUGAGGAAAUAUUGAAGAGAGCAGGAAAGACGAACCAUCGCCUAAAAUGAGAAAGAAGGAAAUAUAAAGAAAAAGACUGUUACAUGGGGAAAAAAUAAGCUAAUGGGCUGUGUGGCAUUUUCUU